CAAAAUGACCUUUAUUACAUUUUCUGAUGCAUAUUGAUGUCCUUAUGCUGUGUAGAAAAUGUUCCAGAUUCAAUUUAUCAAAUUACAGCUAUCUGAGGAGAUACACCAUAUUAUUUGAAAAUACCACGAGAUCACUGUUAGCAUAACUUUUUGAAUUAAUCAGGGCAAGAUAGAGGUAGCAAUUAAUACACUCCUUCUGUCAAUGUCAAUGGAGUGUGUCAUUGCCUUUCUUUUGAUUCAUUGCAUCAGUAAUAUCAUUUAUGGCUACUAUAAUUGUGUGGUAUACUAAAUAGCUAUAAAAUAGCUAUAGUAGAGUUUAUGACCCUUAUGAUACUGCACUAUAAUGUACAUACCUAGUGUUGGUGAGAAAAGGAUUCAGUUUUUUAAGAAUAACAUUAGUAGCUUUAUACAUCAGUGUACAUACAGUUAUAUAGCUGAGUUGUUCUCCUCAGCUGUUACAUUCAUAAGUCAUAUUGUCUUUAUACCAAACCAUUACUACUUGUAUUGUAUUAUGAUAUUUAAUUUAAUGCAUUCAACAUUUUCAUUAUUUGUACAAAUGGUUCGAGGAGUUUUGUUUGAGUUUUAAUAACAAAAAUUAUGAACCAAUUUGAUUGGCAUGUUGGUAUGAUUUAGAUAGAAUCUUGUGGCUGAAUGUUCUAAGACUAUUUUAAAAGAUAUGCAUUUAAAGAUAUACUUCUACAUCUUUUGAUUGGGACAAGAUAAGAAAGAAAGGAAAGAAAGAAAAGAAAGGCUUAAAGUUAGAUCCAAGGAUAUUUAAAAACUGAACCUGAGGAAAGUGUAGAUGAAGUGAAGAAUAAGAGCAAACCAUUAUCUGAGGAAAUGAAAGACUACACAGUUCAGUAUCUGAGGAGGUGAAGGACCUAUGCAGUUCAAUGGAUCAGUUGUUAUCUAUUGUUAACAGUAUAAAGAAUGAAAGACAAGGAGGAGGAGGAGGAGAAGUAAGAGGACCAGAGAACUAGUGUUUGAGAAGGAGGAAGGAGGAGUUGAACUUUAACUUAUAGAUUUUAUUGUGUGGUAUUUAGAGAAUGCUAAACUCUUUAUUUAUUUUCUUUUUUUAGUAUUUUUAGUAUCUAGUUAUAUGCUUCUUAUUACUAAUAGUUUUUAUUUUGAGUGUCCCUUUA
Molecule: long non-coding RNA, 1142 nt
Filed under: Amphimedon queenslandica
Lineage: Eukaryota; Metazoa; Porifera; Demospongiae; Haplosclerida; Niphatidae
Description: uncharacterized LOC109584681, transcript variant X1
Source: RNAcentral